This 21-nucleotide ribosomal RNA is filed under the name Platymiscium parviflorum. RNAcentral describes it as "partial 28S ribosomal RNA". Lineage: Eukaryota; Viridiplantae; Streptophyta; Magnoliopsida; Fabales; Fabaceae. The record is from RNAcentral.
GCGACCNUAGGUCAGGCGGGG